RNAcentral lists this ribosomal RNA (253 nucleotides) under uncultured bacterium. RNAcentral describes it as "partial 16S ribosomal RNA". It matches the Rfam family "Bacterial small subunit ribosomal RNA", at positions 524 to 776 of the family's 1533-position model. The record is from RNAcentral.
UACGUAGGGUGCGAGCGUUAAUCGGAAUUACUGGGCGUAAAGUGUGCGCAGGUGGCUUCGCAAGUCGAGUGUGAAAUCCCCGGGCUUAACCUGGGAAUUGCGCUCGAAACUACGGAGCUGGAGUAUGGCAGAGGGAGGUGGAAUUCCACGUGUAGCGGUGAAAUGCGUAGAGAUGUGGAGGAACACCAAUGGCGAAGGCAGCCUCCUGGGCCAAUACUGACACUCAUGCACGAAAGCGUGGGGAGCAACCAGG